This 1165-nucleotide long non-coding RNA is filed under the name Nicotiana tabacum (common tobacco). Its description in RNAcentral is "long non-coding RNA (NTAB_LNC018445)". Lineage: Eukaryota; Viridiplantae; Streptophyta; Magnoliopsida; Solanales; Solanaceae. The record is from RNAcentral.
UUUGUAAAUAUUCCCCCACAGAGCUUCCUUUUGUACAAAUCCCCACAGAUUACCUCCAAUAAAAUCCCCGUCGAGAAUCUCCAAGCAAAACGGGACACAAAAAAAAAGAGGCCUUACGAGGCAAAUCAUCGCAGAAUCUGGAAAUACAAGCCUGAGCAGUCUAAAGGGUUUCGCCAUUCGAAUCAAAUCAAUGGCGGGACUUCACAACAGAAAUAAAGAUGCAACAAAGCAACUGGGAACGAUCAAGGUCACCGAACCGACUGUCAUUUCCGAACUAACAAUUGUUCUUUGUCUGAAAAGUUGAAACAGGUAUAAUCCAAGACAACCGUGCAAGAAGCAGGUGUCGCCCAAAGAAGAAGGUACACGGGUACAAGAAAUACUUUGGCAAUGAUGAAUUCACUCGAAAGGUAAGUUUCCACGAAACUCCCUUUUAUCUUCUACUAAAACAAGAAAAUUCAAAAAAAAAGAAGGUCGUUUAGUAUUCUCGAACUUUGUCCCCAGCCAGCCAGCAUUAGGGUUUUAAACCCUAAACUGAGCUUUUCCAUGCAAUCAGCAUUAGGGUUUUAAACCCUAAACUGAUCUUUUUCAUUUUAGUCAGCAUUAGGGUUUUAAACCCUAAACUGAACUUUUUCCAUUUAGCCAGCAUUAGGGUAUUAAACCUUAAACUGAGCUUUUCCUUCCAGUCAGCAUUAGGGUUUUAAACCCUAAACUGAGCUUCUUCCUUUAGUCAGCAUUAGGGUUUUAAACCCUAAACUGAAUUUUUUCUAUUCAGCCAGCAUUAGGGUUUUAAACCCUAAACUGAGCUUUUUCAUGCAGUCAGCAUUAGGGUUUUAAACCAUAAACUGAUUUUUCCUUUUUAGUCAGUAUUAGGGUUUUAAACCCUAAACUGAACUUUUUCCAUUCAGCCAGCAUUAGGGUUUUAAACCCUAAACUGAGCUUUUCCAUGUAAUCAGCAUUAGGGUUUUAAACCCUAAACUGAAUUUUCCUUUUAGUCAGCAUUAGGGUUUUAAACCCUAAACUGAAUUUUUUUCAUUCAGCCAGCAUUAGGGUUUUAAACCCUAAACUGAGCUUUUCCAUGCAAUCAGCAUUAGGGUUUUAAACCCUAAACUAAUUUUUUUCCUUUUAGUCAGCAUUAGGGUUUUAAACCCUAAACUGAACUUUUUCC